Molecule: long non-coding RNA, 1139 nt
Filed under: Homo sapiens (human)
Lineage: Eukaryota; Metazoa; Chordata; Mammalia; Primates; Hominidae
Description: HSALNT0352881
Source: RNAcentral
GGCUUUUCUUUCUUGGGAGAUUUUUGAUUACUGAUUCAGUCUCCUUAUACAUUAUUGGUCUGCUGAGAUUUUCUAUUCUUCAUAAUUUAAUUUUGGUAGGUGGUAUGUUUCUAGUAAUUUGUUCAUUUCUUAUAAGUUAUCUAAUUUAUUGGCAUAUAAUUAUUCAUAGUUGUCUCUUAUGAUCUUUUGAAUUUCCGUGGUAUGAGUUGUAAUGUCUCUUCUUUAAUUUAAAAUUUUACUUGAAUUCUCUCUUUUCCUAAAUUAGUCUAGCCAAGGGUUUGUCGACUUUCUCUUUUCAGAAAACCAACUCUUAGUCUCAUUGAUCUUUCUACUGUUUUUCUAUAAUAGUCUCUAUUUUCUCUAUUUUAUUUUUCCUGCUCUAAUUUUUGUUAUUUUCUUCCUUUGCUAACUUGAGGCUUGGCCUAUUAUUCUCUUACCUCCUUGAGGUAUAAAGUUAGGUUGUUUAGUUGAGAUAUUUCAUUUUUCUUAACGUAAGUUUUUUGAUUUUUUGCUUGUUUGUUUUUAAGACAGGGUCUUGCUCUGUUGCCCAGGCAGAAGCACAGUGAUGUGAUCAUGGCUCACUGCAGCCUCAACCUCCUGAGCUCAAGUGAUCCUUCCAUCUCAGCCUCCCAAGUAACUGGGACCACAGGCAGAUGCCACCAUGCCCAGUGACUCCGUUCACAUGCUCCCGUCUUGUCAUCAAGCCCUGUUCAUCUCUCACCAUCUCUCACCUGGACCAUUGCCAGUUUCUGAGCUGCCUGCUCUUGAAUACCAGCUUCCUGAAAAUAUCACCAAAACGAUCUGGUCCUCAGACAAAGCAGAGUCUAUUGCUCACUGCAGUAACAGAGAGCUCCGUCUUCAGAGUCUUGGUAACAUUUCGCUGAGAGGACAACCCAAUCACACUGUUUAGGAGAUUUUGGAUUCUGACUAAGGUGCCUGGAGCAAAAAUGUGUCCAGAAUUGGUGGGUUGUUGGUCUCGCUGACCUCAAGAACGGAGCCGUGGACCCUCGCGUUGGCUGGGAAAUGAAAUUCAGUGAAUCAGAGUCAUCAUUAGAAAAUGAAAUAGAAGAACCAUACCAGAGCAUAAUGCACAUUACAAAGACAGGGUCUCAUUAUUGUUGCCCAGACUCAUCUCAAAC